UUCGUCCGGCCCGUGGACGCCCCCGACGCCAGGGGGCGGUCCCGGAUACCCUGACGGCGUGCGCCCUGCCGGGGAAGCUCCAACAGGUGGUUUCUUCGGGCAGCCGCAAAGCCGACAGCCGUCGCACCUGAGGGAGCCCCUUUCAUG
Streptomyces sp. 4F is the source of this 147-nucleotide non-coding RNA. NCBI's taxonomy places the organism in Bacteria, Bacillati, Actinomycetota, Actinomycetes, Kitasatosporales, Streptomycetaceae. The record is from Rfam.